UCGUAUUGAGUGACGCUUGCGCGCGAAGUAAGCCAGGAUCCCCGUUGAGAGUAACCCACUUGUCUUCCACUUGAAACCUCAGCAAGUGCAACCCCCAAUUGAUUCUGGUUUCCCCUAACUUCUCCAACCACGUAUACCCGAGCACCAAAUCUGUACCUCCCAUCUCAAACCUCAAAUACUCUUCACUGAUCUCCACUCCUUGAAUAUUAGCUUUACUCCUUCACACUUACCGUUUCCUGCUAGCACCCUUCCA
This 253-nucleotide long non-coding RNA is filed under the name Brassica napus (rape). RNAcentral's name for it is "long non-coding RNA (BNAP_LNC019384)". Lineage: Eukaryota; Viridiplantae; Streptophyta; Magnoliopsida; Brassicales; Brassicaceae. The record is from RNAcentral.